GACGAACGCUGGCGGCGUGCUUAACACAUGCAAGUCGAACGGAAAGGCCCUGCUUUUGUGGGGUGCGCGAGUGGCGAAAGGGUGAGUAACAAGGGAGUAACCUGCCCUUGACUUUGGGAUAACUUCAGGAAACUGGGGGUAAUAACGGAGAGGGGCUCCUGCUGCAUGGUGGGGGGUGGAAAGUUGGGGCGGUUGGGGAUGGACUCGCGGCGUAUCGGCUUGUUGGUGGGGUAGUGGCUUACCAAGGGUUUGACGGGUAGCCGGCCUGAGCGGGUGACCGGACACAUGGGAACUGGGAUCGGGCCCCAACUCCUACGGGAGGCAGCAGUGGGGAAUAAUGCGCAAUGGGCGGAAGCCUGAUGCAGCAACACCGCGUGCGGGAUGACGGCCUUCGGGUUGUAGGCCGCUUUCGCCUGUGACGCAGCGUGAGUGACGGUAAUGGGUAAAGAAGCACCGGCUAACUACGUG
RNAcentral lists this ribosomal RNA (468 nucleotides) under uncultured bacterium. RNAcentral's name for it is "partial 16S ribosomal RNA". It matches the Rfam family "Bacterial small subunit ribosomal RNA", at positions 28 to 507 of the family's 1533-position model. The record is from RNAcentral.